Molecule: long non-coding RNA, 374 nt
Organism: Gasterosteus aculeatus aculeatus (three-spined stickleback)
Lineage: Eukaryota; Metazoa; Chordata; Actinopteri; Perciformes; Gasterosteidae
Source: Ensembl
CCUCCCAAGACCUCAGCUUCAUUUAACUCCCCACUUUUUAAUAACAAGUUUAAGCAAUUGGACGAUUGAGGCAAUCGUGACUUAUAUUGGGAAACGUUGAGGGAACAGUGAGGGUCACAUGGACUCUUGCGUCAUCAAAUGAGCAUUUCCUCAGCAACAUCAAAUGAGCGUUUCCUGUUUGAGAUUGAAAACAAUGUGUUCUUGCGUAGAACCCCAGAGAUGAAUCGUUUACUUGUUCAGCGAGUGACGCUUUCUGCAAGUUUCGGGAUGAAGGGUGAGGAACACAAAUGAGGACGGUGACGUAUUCAGCAGUGGAGAAGGGCUUCCAUGUGCAGGCCGGGAGCAGGUUUCCUGAAGAAACAACGAAAAUGGAG